RNAcentral lists this long non-coding RNA (696 nucleotides) under Equus caballus (horse). Its description in RNAcentral is "lncRNA (ENSECAG00000052991.1)". The record is from RNAcentral. Lineage: Eukaryota; Metazoa; Chordata; Mammalia; Perissodactyla; Equidae.
CUGGGUACUUUAAUGUUAUAUUUUAUGAUCCAUUUUUAAUUUCAUUUUUACAACAACCCUUCAACAUAAAUGAUACUCUGCCCAUUUUAUAGAUGAUAAAACACUCCAAAAGGACAGGAAACUUGCCAGAAGCUAGUGAGUCAGGAAGAAGGAAGCCAGGAUUCAACCCUGGAAGCAGGUAAUUUGCCCUGUGGAAUUUCCCACAUUCUGGAUUCUGUGGAUGGCCUUCCUGUUAUAUCCUCUGUCUCCUGCAUUUCCCACUAAAUUGCAGUUAGACCUAGAGGCCUUGAUUAGCCCUGAGCUAAUGUCUACUGCUAAUCCUCCUCUUUUUGCUGAGGAAGACUGGCCCUGAGCUAACAUCUGUGUCCAUCUUCCUCUGCUCUCUUUGUGGGACGCCUGCCACAGAAUGGCUUGACAAGCAGUAUAUAGGUCUGCACCCGAGAUCCGAACUGGCACACCUUGGGCCGCUGAAGCAGAAUGUGCGAACUUAACCUCUGCACCACCAGGCUGGCCCCUGACUAGUGAAUUUUAAGUAUCAUUAUAAAUUCCUGUACUUUUUAACACAUUUAAUGCAUUUCAUCAUGCUGAAUGUUAGUAUUUCUAUAUAAAUAACACCCUUUAGCCUGUAGGUGUGGAUAUGCAAUUACAGACAAUGGAACGACAAGGGCUGUGUGCUAAUCUAAAUUGGGAAAUUGG